Molecule: long non-coding RNA, 1934 nt
Filed under: Homo sapiens (human)
Lineage: Eukaryota; Metazoa; Chordata; Mammalia; Primates; Hominidae
Description: non-protein coding lnc-CERKL-2:3
Source: RNAcentral
GUAACAAGAAAUAAAUGCUAAGUGGCCCCAGGAGGAAGUCAAUUUAACAUCUGCAUAUUUUAUUUAACAUAUAAUUAUUUUAAUUAGGUAAGAUUAACAAUUAUUCAUUGGAAAAUUAUCACAAUCAUAUCAUAUCAGGUACAGUACAAAUUAAAUCUAAAACGGUGUCCCCUCCUCCCCCUUUAGGGAACCUGGGAAGGACUCAGAGUGCCGAUGGUGUAUUUGAUAUACAUCAGCCUAUUUCCUUGUUUUCUAUUGAACUUCAACCACUGGAUGGAACUUCUUUACACCACUGUUUAAUUGCUUCAUUAUUCCAGUGAGCAGGCAAGGCUGAAGAGGAGGAAUUCUGGAAGCUGGAAUAAAGAAUUUAUAUUUGUACUGCUGUGUGCUUAGCCUCUGGUUCUGGAAGACCUUUCCACCACACCUCUUCUGAAAAAAAAAAAAAAAAAGAAGUAGAGAUAAAGGUCUUGCUCUGUUCCCCAGGCUGGUCUUGAACUCCUGGCCUCAAGUGAUCUUCCUGCCUCAGUCUCCCAAAGUGCUGGGAUUACAGGCAUGGGCCACCACACCUGGCCCUAAAAUAAUCUUAAGGCAGCCAUGUUGCUUAAUUAUAACCAAAUGUCCUUAAAUAAAUAUGCACCACUGAUGGUGUUGUUAAAUUUUUAAAAAGAAAUAUACUCACUUAUUUCCUUCUCAGCAAUUAAUAAACUUCAAUCUUCAGAGCCCAGAGACAAAAACAAACAAACAAAAAAACAACAAAAAAAGAUGCGACACAACCUAUUAGCACAAGCAAAAACAAUGUUCUAACAGUGAAGCUUCAUGCUGCACUCAAAUGCAUAAUUAUCCAUACAAUUUAAAAUUGUAUAUUUUAUUGCUUUAAAAGUCUUUCAGAUACUUUACACUGCCCACUGUUUUACCACGAAGUAAAUUUUCCUUUCACUACAUUUCUGCAGCGUUGUUCAUUGUUUUUAGUUCAAUUACAUAGUUGAGAAAAUUCAGGCCCAGAGAAGUAAAAAGAAAAAAUUACAGAAUCUGAGGAAACUUUAUUGAUCUCUUUAUACUUCCAGCAUUAUGAGAGUAGGCAAUACAAUGUUUUAACCCAACCAAGCUCAAAGGAGUAAACCUUUUUCCUGAACCAUAAAUGGGCUGGAUGUUUCCUCCACAUUAUAGUACCAUCUCCUAAAUCAUCCUUUAUUCACCUCCAUGACAAUAAUAACCCACAACUCAGUGCAGGAUGGAGAUGCUUUUGCUGUUUCUCUUCAGAGGUCCUCACUGGAGUGUUCUUAUCUUCUUGUGGGCUUCUGGCAUCCUAUGAUAUUUAACACUCAGUGCCUCCCAAAUGACAACAUGGUUACAUAAAUCCUUCUUUGAAAAUACAUGAAGAGAAAAAAUACAUUUCUAGCUAAUGACUAAGAAGCCUCUAACAAGCUGCAAGUCAAAAGAAUUUCAAAACUUAGCUUUUCAAUAUAUGGUCUUAUUAAUAUAUUGGAUGUUGCUAUUUAAAAAUCACCUUGGGCUUCCUGUUACAUGAAUUACCAGAACCACAGAAGCUGAGAGCCCAGCAGGUGGUAAACUGAAGUAAGAGAGAUACUGCUGGAGUUCCAAGGACAUUCCCUUAAGAGAAAUGCUUAUGAGUUUAGGAGCUCUCGUAAGAGAGUCAGGGAGAAAAAGAAGGAAGUGAGGCUUGUGUGUGUAUGCCUUAGAUAUGAUAGGUAUACACCUUACAGGAUCACUCCUCAUUUCUAAUUUAACAAGAUUGAUUCUGUUUGACAAAGACAAAGGCUUUAACAUUACCUAUUACUAUCAGCAAUGCAGUUAUAAAUGUCACUCCUAGUCAUUCAUUUUAUAGCCACUUUGAAAGGUCUAUCAGUUUACUCUGUAGAAACAUCCCAUUACACAUUGCAGAUACACAUUUAAAUCACUGAAGAACUUUACAA